Molecule: ribosomal RNA, 259 nt
Filed under: uncultured bacterium
Lineage: Bacteria
Description: partial 16S ribosomal RNA
Rfam family: Bacterial small subunit ribosomal RNA
Source: RNAcentral
UGGCGGACGGGUGAGUAACGCGUGGAUAACCUGCCGUAUACAGGGGGAUAACACUUAGAAAUAGGUGCUAAUACCGCAUAAGCGCACGGUUCCGCAUGGAACAGUGUGAAAAACUCCGGUGGUAUACGAUGGAUCCGCGUCUGAUUAGCCAGUUGGCGGGGUAACGGCCCACCAAAGCGACGAUCAGUAGCCGGCCUGAGAGGGUGAACGGCCACAUUGGGGACUGAGACACGGCCCAAACUCCUACGGGAGGCAGCAG